RNAcentral lists this ribosomal RNA (253 nucleotides) under uncultured bacterium. Its description in RNAcentral is "partial 16S ribosomal RNA". It matches the Rfam family "Bacterial small subunit ribosomal RNA", at positions 524 to 776 of the family's 1533-position model. The record is from RNAcentral.
UACGUAGGGUGCGAGCGUUAAUCGGAAUUACUGGGCGUAAAGCGUGCGCAGGCGGUUCGUUAUGUCCGAUGUGAAAGCCCCGAGCUCAACUUGGGAAUGGCAUUGGAAACUGGCGGGCUGGAGUGUGGCAGAGGGGGGUGGAAUUCCACGUGUAGCAGUGAAAUGCGUAGAGAUGUGGAGGAACACCGAUGGCGAAGGCGGCGACCUGGGUAGAUACUGACGCUGAGGUGCGAAAGCGUGGGGAGCAAACAGG